GCCGGCGCGCGGCUCCCCUCCGUCCGGGCUCGGCGGGAGCCGCUGGCUGCAGCCCCGGUGGGGACGUCCCCCGUGGCUCUUGCACUCCGGGAGCUCCCGGUGGAGCUGCGGGCGCCGCCGAGUCGCGGCUGCAGCCCGGAGGAAGGGGCGAGAGGGAAGAACCUUCUGUUGGAUGAAAUAAAAGCAAACACUGGGCCUUCUGCUCUGCCUCCACCUCCACGCCCCUCCCGCUCGCCCGCUCGCCCGCCCCGAUUUGCACGGAAAUAGCUUCUUCUCCAGGCUCCUGGGCCGCCCCUUCGCGGUGACUCGCAGAAAGAGCUUCCUGAGCUCCGGCCGGUGGGAAACAAAGGAUGUGGGGAACUGGCGGAAGGGGCCCACGUGGCAGCCGCCAGAUUCCUGUCUCCUCCCGCCUCCGUCCACGCCCUAGGGUUACUUUUUGCCCCAAGAAAGAAACGGAAGCCUAGAACUUGCUGUGUCUCCUUGAAAGGCUGUCUCCCGAGUCUCCUUCCAAGGCUAAGUGCUAACAGCACGCAAGGAGUCUCCGAAGAGACUACAUUUGUGAGACUACAAUUUGCAUAGAAAGGAACCAUUAGGGGGACCUCCAUCUGCAACACCCUGGACCUGGG
Molecule: long non-coding RNA, 626 nt
Filed under: Cricetulus griseus (Chinese hamster)
Lineage: Eukaryota; Metazoa; Chordata; Mammalia; Rodentia; Cricetidae
Description: lncRNA (ENSCGRG00015042969.1)
Source: RNAcentral